AUCCAGCUGACGAGUCCCAAAUAAGACGAAAUGCGCGUUACCUUGGAU
RNAcentral lists this non-coding RNA (48 nucleotides) under Trichobilharzia regenti. Lineage: Eukaryota; Metazoa; Platyhelminthes; Trematoda; Strigeidida; Schistosomatidae. The record is from RNAcentral.